AAGUCGUAACAAGGUUUCCGUAGGUGAACCUGCGGAAGGAUCAUUAACACGUAUCCAAACGUUAAACCCCCCUGUGAACCUUCACCUGUACUCGUACGUCCGUUAGAAAAAGCAGCAAUCCCUGGUAAAUCAUCGCCGAACAGUUUUCGAUUCAGGGAUGUCUGCAAGGAGCGUGCAUGUUGUGCGAGCAAGUGGCCUGGCAUCCCCAAGCAGUUAGUGUCUGAAAGUGUCAUUAACUGUGUAAGGAUGACGCAGUCACAAUCGUUGGAGGCCCACACGGCCGACGACCGGGUCACUGGGCGCAAGCCCCCCUAUAACAAACGCUGCUAAUCGCGGCCGCGAUAAUACGCAGGCGACCAAAAACCGAACAACUGUUAACAAUGAAUAUCUUGGUUCUC
Molecule: unclassified non-coding RNA, 398 nt
Filed under: fungal sp.
Lineage: Eukaryota; Fungi
Description: partial internal transcribed spacer region
Rfam family: Eukaryotic small subunit ribosomal RNA (bases 1-46)
Source: RNAcentral